RNAcentral lists this ribosomal RNA (451 nucleotides) under uncultured Acholeplasma sp. RNAcentral describes it as "bacterial SSU rRNA". It matches the Rfam family "Bacterial small subunit ribosomal RNA", at positions 927 to 1382 of the family's 1533-position model. The record is from RNAcentral. Lineage: Bacteria; Bacillati; Mycoplasmatota; Mollicutes; Acholeplasmatales; Acholeplasmataceae.
AAGCGGUGGAUCAUGUUGUUUAAUUCGAUGAUACGCGAAGAACCUUACCAGGUCUUGACAUCCCCGCAAUGCUCUGGAGACAGAGCGGAGGUAGUCCGGGGAGGACGGGUGGUGCAUGGUUGUCGUCAGCUCGUGUCGUGAGAUGUUGGGUUAAGUCCCGCAACGAGCGCAACCCUUAUUGCUAGUUACCAUCAUUGAGUUGGGGACUCUAGCGAGACUGCCAGCGAUAAGCUGGAGGAAGGUGGGGAUGACGUCAAAUCAUCAUGCCCCUUAUGACCUGGGCUACAAACGUGAUACAAUGGCUGGAACAAAGGGAGGCGAAGGGGUGACCUGGAGCGAAACCCAAAAAUACAGUCUCAGUUCGGAUUGAAGUCUGCAACUCGACUUCAUGAAGUCGGAAUCGCUAGUAAUCGCGGAUCAGAACGCCGCGGUGAAUACGUUCUCGGGGUUU